GGAGGCUGCUAAGCGAGGCUCAGGGCUGACAGCCAGGGUGAGCUUUCCCCCGGUAAGGCAGCGGCCAAUUAACCUGAUGAAAAGGAGGGAGACAGAGCAGACAGGGCUUCUGCAGGGGCAGGCAAGGCCUUUCAAGUGAGGGAGAGGAACAGACAGAGAGAAGGAGAGAUUUUUGGGGUCCCCAAAACUCUGUUUUGUCUGGUUGGUGUGUUUGUAGGGUCCUUUUCCCCAGGUAUCCCUAUGGAGGGAUGUUCUUGGGGUUUCUAUCCUUGGGUAUCCAAGCAGUGCUCUCCCCCCAGGAUGUACACGUGUACCCCAGCUGCAAUUUCCAAACCAGUGAUCCUGUGGCUGCUCGAAAACAUCCCUGUGUGUGUGGGAUCAGUGUUCAUGCUCCCAUAUUGAAGGAAAACUUGCUUGGAGCCUCUGCAAAGCCAGAAGAAAAUGAAACCCCUUCUCAAGCAAGCUCCUCUCAGGCUGAGCCAGGGCUUUGUGGAUUUCUCCUUGUUAGGCUCAAAAUUACUUCCUUCAUUUUCCCCGUCACUCCUGGAGUUGCCUCGAGCCCCGGGGCUGCAGGCAGGCACAGGGCUAAUCCUUCCCGAGCUCUGCUGUCUGGUGGACUUCAGGGCCACGCGAUAGGCUCUGGUGCUCGGGCAGAGCAAGGCACCAUCCAUCACGUCCACUUGAGACAGCUGUCAGCAAAGCUAAUCAUCUGCUGCCCAAGCGAUGUUCCCCCGACCUCUGCUCGCCUCUGGGAGAGGCUUGGUCCUUCCUCGGUGCCACCGAAGGGGAUGGGGACGAUUGCUGAGAGCAGAGGGAGCCUGGUGGGAGGACAGGAGCUGGGUGGGCACCCAAGCAGCUGGCCGGAGCAUGGCUUGAUGCCGCGAUUUGUGUCUGCAGGAGCAAUAAUUGCAACUGAUGUCAUUUUAAGAUGGGAAGUGUAGCCCUGUGCUCCCCUCCGAGGCUGGAAGCACCAUAAAUAAGAGGGCAAAGCUGUCCCCUGCCAUCCGAGAAACCUGUAGAUCGAAGUCCCAGCUGUCUCCACCUCCGAGAUUCUCAGCGAAGAGCCGCCUGUCACAUUAUCUUGUGUCAGCAUGGCCACACAGGGUGCUCCCUGAGACAUCCUCCCUCUUCUGAAGCCCUGGGGACUGUGCCCAGCUGAGCCACGAGCACCUCGUGUCCUCCUGUCCCCCGAUGGAGCACUUCUGCAUGGUCAGUCACGGUGGCCUCCCAUUUUAUUGGGACAGGCAGAGGAAAACAGUGGCUCUGGCCCUUCAAGGGAUGCUGUGGGACACCCAGGAGCUGGAAAGUCCCCAGGGCCAUCAGCACCGUCCCGAGGAGCCCAGCAGAGCCAGGAAGGUGGCAUGGGAAGGGGACGCCCUUAGGAACCACUUCUGUUCAAACCAGUGGGGUAGGUGCUUGCUGAUCCUUGCUCUGCCUUCGCAGGGAAGCACCCCUGCAUCCGAGCAAGUGGAGCAGUGAUCUGCCCUGAGCUGAACUCCCUGCUGGAGACAGAUGAGAGAUUGCCGCGUGUUUAAUUCAUGGCCCUGCGUUUCUAUUUCUGGUUGCUCUCAGGCCUCCCUGGUACAGGGAGGCACCUCUCAGGCACUAUUUCCCUUCUCCUUUGCGUGCUUCUCCACCAGCAGUGCGUGCCAAGCCAGCCGUGCUGGUCAGCUUCGGGGUGAUGUGGGGCCAAAGAGACACAGGGGUCCUGCAGGAAGGGGGCACCCAGAGGCACAGGGGCUGCAGCUCUGGGCACGGCUGCCUGGCCCCACCGCAGAGCUCUGAACACCUCUCUGCAUGUUCAUCCUGGUGGUGCUCACUGCAGGGCUCUGAUUCCAUUUUUAAAGGCAGGGAAACUGAGGCUGAGAGGCAUCAAGGUCAUGCAGGAACCUACCUUUAAGUUCAGUUUCCCCUGAGUGUGAGAUAAGGCUGGGGGUGAGCUUUGGGGUUAGGUCCAAUCCUGCCUUCAGUCUGGGCUUGACCUCACGCAGGGCUUGCAGUGCAGUGAAAAAAUUGCCCUUUCCACAUCCUUUCCUCCCCAGCCACCUCACCACCCAACGGAUUAUUCUCGACAGAGCAACCUGGGCAAGGGCAGGUAAUCCACGGCUCCAAGCAGGCUGCUGCAUCACUGACCUCCAGCACUGCAGCCUCUCCUGCCA
Long non-coding RNA from Anas platyrhynchos (mallard), 2159 nucleotides. RefSeq lists it as uncharacterized. NCBI's taxonomy places the organism in Eukaryota, Metazoa, Chordata, Aves, Anseriformes, Anatidae. The record is from RefSeq and is a predicted model, not a curated record.